AGAAUUUAUAAAAAAUCUGCUUCACAUUUUUUUCAUAGUAUUAGCUGAUUCAUCCAUAUCAACUUACCCACAAAACUAGAUUAACCAACAUUUGGAAGUUGCGACGGAUAUUUCGAAAUUAAUGCAAUUUUGAGAAAAAAGUUAUCGCUUUAUCUAGUUAUGAAACAGGAAGAACAUUUGCAUUUUGAAUUGUCCAAUGGAAAGUCGUUUGUUUUAAUUUUCGAUGAGUAUAACAAGAAUAAACAAUAUGAAUUUCAGUGAAGCUCAGUUUAUCGUUAUUAUUUUGAUCUUUGCGAGCUUGUCAAUGGCACAAUCCAACCAACAGAGAAUUCUAACAUUUAACUACAUAUUCAAACAGCUCAAUCAAUUUCUCUGCACAUAUGUCCACCCUGUCCUUAAUCCAAUUUUUCAGAUGUUUGGCAUUGAAUUGUUUUCAGAUCUCGAUCUCAUUUGCAACAUUAAGAAAUCAUGAGGAUUUGUCAUAGCAUUGCUAAUCAUAAAAAAGUGAUUUGAUACCAUAUUCUGAUCAAAUAAAAUAUUACCCAUG
Molecule: long non-coding RNA, 547 nt
Organism: Harmonia axyridis
Lineage: Eukaryota; Metazoa; Arthropoda; Insecta; Coleoptera; Coccinellidae
Exons: 2
Source: RefSeq, a predicted model, not a curated record